UCACUCUGGAAAGCAGGGCACGCCUCGGGAGCGACGCAGCCUCCGGGACACGGUCCUCACCGACGGUGAAAGCCGCCCCUCACCGGGCGGUGAAGCUCUCAGGUCCGAUGACAGAGGGGGA
This 121-nucleotide non-coding RNA is filed under the name Actinacidiphila rubida. RNAcentral's name for it is "Streptomyces rubidus Glycine sequence". It matches the Rfam family "Glycine riboswitch aptamer". Rfam says of the family: This family represents the bacterial glycine riboswitch. Glycine riboswitches usually consist of two metabolite-binding aptamers domains with similar structures in tandem. The record is from RNAcentral. Lineage: Bacteria; Bacillati; Actinomycetota; Actinomycetes; Kitasatosporales; Streptomycetaceae.